GCGGCCCAUUAGCUAGUUAGUGGGGUCAAGGCCUACCAAGGCAACGAUGGGUAGCUGGUCUGAGAGGACGAUCAGCCACACUGGGACUGAGACACGGCCCAGACUCCUACGGGAGGCAGCAGUGGGGAAUCUUUGCGCAAUGCGCGAAAGCGUGACGCAGCAACACCGCGUGAGGGAAGACGGCCUUAGGGUUGUAAACCUCUUUCAGAUGGGACGAAGGUGAUGCGGUGAAUAGCCGAUGUCAUUGACGGUACCGUCAGAAGAAGCUCCGGCUAACUACGUG
Molecule: ribosomal RNA, 283 nt
Filed under: uncultured bacterium
Lineage: Bacteria
Description: partial 16S ribosomal RNA
Rfam family: Bacterial small subunit ribosomal RNA
Source: RNAcentral